AUGAAUCUCUUAUGUUGGAAUUGUCAUGGCGCGGGAAAAGCCUUGACAAUUCGUGAGCUUCAGGAUAUAACGAAGCAGUUUGCCCCGGCCGUCUUAUGCAUAGUGGAAACCCAGAUUUAAAAGACACGUGUCGAGAAUCUUGGUGGUACUUUAGGUUUUAAUAAUUCUUUUGCUAUUAGUAGUUCUGGCCGUAGUGGUGGUCUAUGGAUGUUCUGA
RNAcentral lists this ribosomal RNA (216 nucleotides) under Triticum aestivum (bread wheat). RNAcentral describes it as "partial small subunit ribosomal RNA". The record is from RNAcentral. Lineage: Eukaryota; Viridiplantae; Streptophyta; Magnoliopsida; Poales; Poaceae.